This 429-nucleotide ribosomal RNA is filed under the name Bacteroidota bacterium. Its description in RNAcentral is "Bacteroidetes bacterium partial 16S ribosomal RNA". It matches the Rfam family "Bacterial small subunit ribosomal RNA", at positions 355 to 776 of the family's 1533-position model. The record is from RNAcentral. Lineage: Bacteria; Pseudomonadati; Bacteroidota.
UAGGGAAUCUUCCGCAAUGGACGCAAGUCUGACGGAGCAACGCCGCGUGAGUGAAGAAGGAUUUCGGUUCGUAAAACUCUGUUGUUAGAGAAGAACAGCGCAUAGAGUAACUGUUAUGCGUGUGACGGUAUCUAACCAGAAAGCCACGGCUAACUACGUGCCAGCAGCCGCGGUAAUACGUAGGUGGCAAGCGUUGUCCGGAUUUAUUGGGCGUAAAGCGAGCGCAGGCGGUCAAUUAAGUCUGAUGUGAAAGCCCCCGGCUCAACCGGGGAGGGUCAGUGGAAACUGGUUGACUUGAGUGCAGAAGAGGAGAGUGGAAUUCCAUGUGUAGCGGUGAAAUGCGUAGAUAUAUGGAGGAACACCAGUGGCGAAGGCGACUCUCUGGUCUAUAACUGACGCUGAGGCUCGAAAGCGUGGGUAGCAAACAGG